CCUACGGUGAGCUGCAGUAGGGAAUCUUCCACAAUGGGCGAAAGCCUGAUGGAGCAACGCCGCGUGGGUGAAGAAGGUCUUCGGAUCGUAAACCUCUGUCAGCAGGGAAGAACGGUCACUGUGCUAAUCAGCAGUGAAUUGACGGUACCUGCAAAGGAAGCACCGGCUAACUCCGUGCCAGCAGCCGCGGUAAUACGGAGGGUGCGAGCGUUAAUCGGAAUUACUGGGCGUAAAGCGCUCGUAGGCGGUAUGUCAAGGCAAGGGUGAAAUCCCCGCGCUCAACGUGGGAACUGCCUUUGAAACUGGCAAACUGGAGUGUGUGAGAGGAUAGUGGAAUUCCAGGUGUAGGAGUGAAAUCCGUAGAUAUCUGGAGGAACAUCAGUGGCGAAGGCGACUAUCUGACACAUAACUGACGCUGAGGAGCGAAAGCGUGGGUAGCAAACAGGAGUAGAUACCCUAGUAGUC
This 465-nucleotide ribosomal RNA is filed under the name uncultured bacterium. RNAcentral's name for it is "partial 16S ribosomal RNA". It matches the Rfam family "Bacterial small subunit ribosomal RNA", at positions 338 to 795 of the family's 1533-position model. The record is from RNAcentral.